RNAcentral lists this long non-coding RNA (317 nucleotides) under Elaeis guineensis (African oil palm). RNAcentral's name for it is "long non-coding RNA (EGUI_LNC073348)". Lineage: Eukaryota; Viridiplantae; Streptophyta; Magnoliopsida; Arecales; Arecaceae. The record is from RNAcentral.
AAAUAAUAAAAGUUAUUUAGUAUUUUUCAUCACAAGAAUAUAUUUUCUAACGAGCUCCUAUGUUGCGAUGAAGUCUUUAGGACUACUUUGAUCGAUAAAGGAGGAUUUAUCGUAUAGUCCUUAAAUUGGUUUGCAACCAAACGAUAUGCUAUUACUAGGAUGAUAGCGAUAUCAAGUGUAGAUUGUUGUGUGCCAUAUGCAUUGGUCGUCCCCUCAUAAUCAAAUAGUAUGGAGAUACUGGUAUAGUAUGUAGGUGAGAUGUAGAAGUACAUCAUCACUAAACGUGACCAACUGCGGAGCACUCGGCUGUCAAGGGU